Molecule: ribosomal RNA, 253 nt
Filed under: uncultured bacterium
Lineage: Bacteria
Description: partial 16S ribosomal RNA
Rfam family: Bacterial small subunit ribosomal RNA
Source: RNAcentral
UACGUAGGGACCGAGCGUUGUCCGGAAUCAUUGGGCGUAAAGGGUGUGUAGGAGGUCUUGUAAGUCGGGCGUGAAAUCUCACCGCUUAACGGUGAAACUGCGUUCGAUACUGCUUGGCUAGAGGAUCGGAGGGGGUAUCGGAAUUCAUGGUGUAGCAGUGAAAUGCGUAGAUAUCAUGAGGAACACCGGUGGCGAAAGCGGAUACCUGGAAGAUUCCUGACUCUGAAACACGAAAGCUAGGGGAGCAAACGGG